GACAGAGGCCCCGAGCGUUAAUCGGAAUUACUGGGCUUAAAGGGUGCGUAGGCGGACCAGAAAGUGCUUUGUGAAAGCCCCCGGCUCAACCGGGGAACAGCGGGGCAUACUGCUGGUCUUGAGGAAGGUAGGGGUUGCCAGAACUGUAGGUGGAGCGGUGAAAUGCGUAGAUAUCUACAGGAAUGCCGAUGGUGAAGACGGGCAACUGGGCCUUUCCUGACGCUGAGGCACGAAAGCGUGGGGAGCAAAC
RNAcentral lists this ribosomal RNA (250 nucleotides) under uncultured bacterium. Its description in RNAcentral is "partial 16S ribosomal RNA". It matches the Rfam family "Bacterial small subunit ribosomal RNA", at positions 524 to 773 of the family's 1533-position model. The record is from RNAcentral.